ACCAUACCACAAUCUUCUGUUAGAGGAAUCACUGCAAAAGUACGGACAUAGAGUUUCCUUCGGCGGCUUUCAGGAUACUUUGAUAACAACCUGUUGAUCAUUGCAUUGAACUCCAUCAUACGAGCAUCUUUCCUAAGGUCAUCCUUGGGUUUGCAUCAUCCUUGGGUUUGCAGAGAAAUGGACGUUCAAUACCAUCACUACCCAACAGAACAAUUUUCUUGGGUCGUUGAAGAGAAGAAAGAAUCUCAGCCUCAUCAGAAAUUCCUGAAAUUGUUGGAAGAUCUGAGGCAGAAAAGAUAUCAGAGGUGAGAG
This 312-nucleotide unclassified non-coding RNA is filed under the name Hevea brasiliensis (rubber tree). Lineage: Eukaryota; Viridiplantae; Streptophyta; Magnoliopsida; Malpighiales; Euphorbiaceae. The record is from RNAcentral.